GACGAACGCUGGCGGCGUGCUUAACACAUGCAAGUCGAACGGAAAGGCCCUGCUUUUGUGGGGUGCUCGAGUGGCGAACGGGUGAGUAACACGUGAGUAACCUGCCCUUGACUUUGGGAUAACUUCAGGAAACUGGGGCUAAUACCGGAUAGGAGCUCCUGCUGCAUGGUGGGGGUUGGAAAGUUUCGGCGGUUGGGGCUGGACUCGCGGCUUAUCAGCUUGUUGGUGGGGUAGUGGCUUACCAAGGCUUUGACGGGUAGCCGGCCUGAGAGGGUGACCGGCCACAUUGGGACUGAGAUACGGACCAGACUCCUACGGGAGGCAGCAGUGGGGAAUAUUGCAGAAUGGGCGGAAGUCUGAGGCAGCAACGCCGCGUGCGGGAUGACGGCCUUCGGGUUGUAAACAGCUUUCGCAUGUGACGAAGCGUGAGUGACGGUAAUGGGUAAAGAAGCACCGGCUAACUACGUG
RNAcentral lists this ribosomal RNA (468 nucleotides) under uncultured bacterium. RNAcentral describes it as "partial 16S ribosomal RNA". It matches the Rfam family "Bacterial small subunit ribosomal RNA", at positions 28 to 507 of the family's 1533-position model. The record is from RNAcentral.